RNAcentral lists this ribosomal RNA (118 nucleotides) under Columba livia (rock pigeon). Lineage: Eukaryota; Metazoa; Chordata; Aves; Columbiformes; Columbidae. The record is from RNAcentral.
ACAUACAACCAUAGCACCCUGAGAACGCCCCAGCUCAUCUGAUCUGGGAAGCUAAGCAGGGUCGGGCCCGGUCAGUGCUUGGAUGGGAGACCAGUGGUACAUGGGGGGGUUAGAAGGG